AAGUGGCUGGUGAGUGUCCUCAGUCCCAGCUCGGAUACAGAUGUGUCGGUGUGUCUUUGUUCCCUGCAGUAGUGCCCUCUCCAGCUCAGUCAUCAUCCACAUACCCCAGGACACUGUCCGAGCCAAAGAGAUCAUCGCCUACGUCAACACGCUGAAGACUCAGGUCAGCUAUUACGCAGAGAGGCUGUCUCAAGCUGCCAAAGACCAAUCGGCCAGCGGACUGGAGUGGACGCUCGCCAGUCUGGUUGACAAGACCCGUCAGCUGGUGGCAGUGUGCGGCUGCAAGCUGCUAGCUUCAGCUAUUUAGGCCCUGAACGCAGUACGAGUACAUCGCAACCAAAGCUUCUCCUUCCGCUGAGUCUGAACAAGUAGUGCUCCGCAAUGACAAGGAUACGCUGAGAGCAAAGUACAGCGGUCACAACAGCCAGUCGUCACUGCACGUGGACUGGCACGAAGAGGAGUGGGCCACGCCCACGGACUACAGCGCCAUGAUGAGCAACAAAGCCAAGAAGUCUAUUGACUUCCUUCUGAUGCAGGACACCGCCCCGACGAUAGCCACGGACGUGUCACUGCAGUACCGCCUCGACAUCGUCUUCUGCCAAACGGUCACCUACACAUAUUUUAAUUAUUGUAUGUCUGAGCUGAUGCGUUUAUCCUGGAGUGACUCAGAGUGAAGGAGAAGGCCAAGAAGAAGUGUAAAUAUCAUAGAAGCAAGGAGUUCAGAGCUCUACGACUUAGUGUCUUUAUGGUAUUUAUGUGUGUAAUGGAGACCAGGGGUUCCAUUACCCUUACUUGUAUUUUUAUUAAUUGACUGACUGAUUUGUAUUUAAAAACCGUAAUGAAGAAAAACACACACUGGUUGAUUGUGAUUCUUUAUUAGGCUUUUUGGGUUGUUAUUUAAGUGACUCGUUAAAGGUGAAGAGACAGGGGGACUGGCCAUCCUACCUGUGUCAGGAAAAGAACCUGUGUUAGAGCUGUUCACAUUUAAUCAUUUGUCUGUAACCUAAAUUAGUUGUAUAUGUAAAAAGAGAAGUGUUAACAGUACUCACUUUGUAAAGAGUAAAAGCAGCUCAAUCACCUGCUUAUGAGCUCCUGGAGAAAACCAAUGUGCCAGGCUAGGGGAGUGUGUGUUGGAGUGAUUUUGUUAAAAGUUGUCAUUAUUGUGCUUGGACCUUGUCUUGAACUGUAUGUUCAGAUAUUUUCUGUUCCUCCCCCACAUGUAGGAUGUUGGGGAUGUUACUAGCUAUAGUUUUCAACUGCAGGCACAAUCUAUGUAAGAUUCUGGUUUCCUUAUUUGGUAAGGAAUGUUCACUUCCUGCCCUUUAUGGGCUCACCAUGUAAAUGGUGGACUGUUAAAG
RNA transcript from Maylandia zebra (zebra mbuna), 1358 nucleotides. It is a transcript of the gene named inositol polyphosphate-4-phosphatase type I A-like, with no coding region annotated. NCBI's taxonomy places the organism in Eukaryota, Metazoa, Chordata, Actinopteri, Cichliformes, Cichlidae. The record is from RefSeq and is a predicted model, not a curated record.